Molecule: ribosomal RNA, 239 nt
Filed under: Sulfitobacter sp.
Lineage: Bacteria; Pseudomonadati; Pseudomonadota; Alphaproteobacteria; Rhodobacterales; Roseobacteraceae
Description: partial 16S ribosomal RNA
Rfam family: Bacterial small subunit ribosomal RNA
Source: RNAcentral
GAGCGGCGGACGGGUGAGUAACGCGUGGGAAUAUUCCCUUCUCUGCGGAAUAGCCUCUGGAAACGGAGAGUAAUACCGCAUACGCCCUUCGGGGGAAAGAUUUAUCGGAGAUGGAUUAGCCCGCGUUAGAUUAGAUAGUUGGUGGGGUAACGGCCUACCAAGUCUACGAUCUAUAGCUGGUUUUAGAGGACGAUCAGCCCCACUGGGACUGAGACACGGCCCAGACUCCUACGGGAGGC